RNAcentral lists this transfer-messenger RNA (387 nucleotides) under Candidatus Saccharimonadota bacterium. It matches the Rfam family "transfer-messenger RNA". Rfam says of the family: Bacterial tmRNA, also known as 10Sa RNA or SsrA, is named for its dual tRNA and mRNA-like properties. The record is from RNAcentral. Lineage: Bacteria; Candidatus Saccharimonadota.
GGGGCUGAUAUAGCUUUCGACAAUUGGACGUUAUCAAGAUAGUUUGCGAACCGACGAUACGCGUAACGUAUGAUAUAUCUGCAAAGAACUUUGCAAGCAAGGUUGCUAGCCUGUUCCAGGUUCGCGCCUUUGCACCAGCUGUAGCGUAAUUUUUUACAGCCAUCUUGUCGCACAGGCAACAUAGUGCGUGCGAGGUGUCAUAGUGAUGUUGCUUGCUGUGCGUUCGGGCAGCAGCGAAUGCGCGGGACUACUACUGCGUAACGAGGCUUGGUAUUUUCGACUUAUUUUGAGCCAAGCCUUGUUAUAAAACAACGAAAUAAGCCUAUGUUCGUAGACGACUAUCGUGAUACCAGUUGGACCCGGGGGCGGUACCCGGCAGCUCCACCA